RNAcentral lists this long non-coding RNA (1408 nucleotides) under Chloebia gouldiae (Gouldian finch). RNAcentral's name for it is "Erythrura gouldiae (Gouldian finch) lncRNA (ENSEGOG00005013524.1)". The record is from RNAcentral. Lineage: Eukaryota; Metazoa; Chordata; Aves; Passeriformes; Passeridae.
CCCGCCGCCGGCCCAGGCCCGAGCGAUCCCGGGCACCCCCUGCUCGGGCCGGCAGCAUGCCCCGCGGGCGAGCCUGGACGCAGGCGGAGGUCAGCAGCCUCCUGUCGCUGGUGGAGGGCUCGGGGGAGGCCGCACUGCUCAUGGCCUCCACGUCGCGACCCAACGAGGCGCUCUGGCGGGAGAUCUCCGGGGGUCUGGCGGAGGCCGGCUACGGGAGCAGCGUGGCCCAGUGCCGCUCCAAGUGGAAGGCGCUCAAGCAGGCUUUCCACUCGGAGCGGGAGACGCGCCGCAAGGCAGGACGUCACUCGCCCCGGCUGCCGCCGCACUACCGAGCCAUGAAGGCUAUCUGGAAGGCGGCCGGGCGGCCCGUGUUUGGUGAACGGAGGCUGCCAGGUGUGGUGAAGCUGCCCUCCAGAAAGCGCAGGUCAGCCCUUGCCACACGCUCUCCAUUCUCACCAAAGACACCAGAGCACAACGUUGGCGAGGACACCUUCAGCACACUGCUGUCACACAUGCUGCAGUGUGCGAAGGACCAGCCAGAGAGUCUCCUAGUCUGUUGUGUAGCGUUGCUGCGUGCUGCUCCGCCGCUGCUGCCUUCCAGCCCAGAGGUGGCUGCAUUGCAGUGGUGGCUAGUGGGGAACACAUUGCUGGAGUGCCACCCACACCCCCUGCCAUGCCACGUAAGGCUUUCCUUGCCCUGCUCAGCCCAGUACACCCUCUCAGCCCCACAAGCAGGGUCUGGCUGUCAGACUGACCUGAAGCAGGAAGGAGCUGAGGGAAAGGCCAGUUUUCCUGGUGAGACAUCCCUGGGGAUGGGAAGAACAUACGAAGUGCUGCCAUUGGCUGCUGCAGCCAUAGGCUCCCAUGAGACAGCAGCCAUGAGUGAGCAGCCAGCAGCAGGUGAAGAUGCAUCAGACACAAGCCUGCAUGGGUCUGGUGUGGCAGGCUUGCUCCAGAAUGUGCAGCAACUACUGGUGCAGAUCCUGCAGACAUCACGGCAGCAGCAGGCACUACUGGAGAGCUUGGCCAGCGACACAGUCUCCCACCUCCACCGUAUCUCCCACAGCCUUGUGCAGGUGGGCGAGACCCUGCACCAACUCCUGCUCCAACCACAUCCUCACCCUAUUGGCCACUAUGUCCCCCACAUGCCCCUUUUUGAGGGUGGCUCCAGAGUACCCUGCUCCUCUGGUGCUCCCCACAUUUCCCCAGACCACAAAGAGGAGCCUCAGCUGUCCCCUGAUGCCAGGUGCAUCCCACCCUAAGUGCCACCAUCACUGGCCCCACGAGCAACAGCUUUGCUAUAGAGCUUGGCACAAAUCUUUAUGUCAGAGGUUCCAGAUAUUUUGAAAGUUUAUACUAGAGAGACAUUUUGAUGAAAUUAAAAAUAGCUUUUCUACCAGUGAUGGCA